RNAcentral lists this ribosomal RNA (253 nucleotides) under uncultured bacterium. Its description in RNAcentral is "partial 16S ribosomal RNA". It matches the Rfam family "Bacterial small subunit ribosomal RNA", at positions 524 to 776 of the family's 1533-position model. The record is from RNAcentral.
UACGUAGGGGGCAAGCGUUGUCCGGAAUUAUUGGGCGUAGAGCGCGCGCAGGCGGUCUCUUAAGUCUGAUGUGAAAGCCCACGGCUCAACCGUGGAGGGUCCUUGGAAACUGGGAGACUGGAGUAUAGGAGAGGAAAGUGGAAUUCCACGUGUAGCGGUGAAGUGCGUAGAGAUGUGGAGGAACACCAGUGGCGAAGGCGACUUUCUGGCCUAUUACUGACGCUGAGGCGCGAAAGCGUGGGGAGCAAACAGG